RNAcentral lists this long non-coding RNA (299 nucleotides) under Nicotiana benthamiana. RNAcentral describes it as "long non-coding RNA (NBEN_LNC030797)". The record is from RNAcentral. Lineage: Eukaryota; Viridiplantae; Streptophyta; Magnoliopsida; Solanales; Solanaceae.
CCGUCUAUUCUACUUCUUCAUCUCACCCAUACCUGCAACCCUAACCUGCCAUCGCCGCCAGUGAAAGCUCAAAUCACCACAAAUUCAACCAUGCAACUGUGACCCCUCCCUGAGUCAUAAUCCAAUUUUGUUCUCCCCGAAUCCUAUCCAAACCAAACAAGGUUUGAAUCUCAAUCAAAGGAAGUAGAUCAUCGAAGUUUGAAAGUUCUUAUAAGCUAUUAGGCUUGAAACGGGUAUUGCUUGUUUGUUCUUGAAAGAACAUGCGGUUAAUACCAGUUUCACGUCGAAUCGAAGUCGCC